UGGGGCAGCUGGGGGCUCUCGCGGAGGCACGCACGCGCCCAACCGCCGCCCGUUUUGGGGGCGGGAACGCAGCGCCCCUUUCCCUGCGGGGAGCCCGCGCUCCAGCCCCCGGGGUGGGGGCUCCUCACGGUCCUUCCUCGGAACCGUGGGGCGGGGAGACAGCGACGGAGGCGCUCCAGCCGCACCGGGGUUAAGAUCCCCAGACACGCGCCGGCCGGGUCUCCGCCCCUCCUUUCCCGCGCGGUGUCUGCUGAGGAGCCGCGGAGAGAAGCGGGCUGACCCUGAGAGGUGCUGCCAUCCCGCAGGACCCGGGGCGCGAGGCUGGGUGAGGCCUCGCUGCAGGCCGCAGCUCCUGACCAGGGGGCGGCUGGCGUGUGUUCCCCCCCACACACUGGGGUUGUCCCACGCGGUUCUUCGCCUCCGCUGGCCGCACCUGCGCCCUGGCCACCGCUCCGUCUGUCACCAGUUGGGCGCGCUAGUACUACCUUCUGGAGAGGCUGCGGCGCAUCCUCUAUGCCGGUCCUCCUCCCCAUGAGCCCAUUAUCCCGUGGUUUCCCUAGGUAGGCGCAGAAACUUUCUGACUGGCAGCAAAAGACUAGCCCCAGUUUAGCAGAGCUCCACGGGAAACGCCUGAGCAAAUGCGAAUUCGGUCAGGCUGUCCCCCAAUCCUUUCUACAACUGGAGUCCCUGAAUACUCAGCCGGCAGAGUGCCGGGACCACCCAUGCGGAUGUUUUCAGCCAUCUCUUUCCUCUUCGGGCUUUGUAUCCUACGACAGUCUCCCGCCAUGCUUCUUCACCUCGGUUCUCUAAACAUCAAAGGUCAAGAGGAGGGUUUCCAGCCCUGGAGCCCGCGAAAGGGUGGGCCCUUGCGGUUCACGCGCGGAAACAGCGAUAGGGACACCCAAGGCCCAGGAAGGCUGGGGACAAAGCAGAUCCUCCCAGACCCCAACACCACCCCGGCGUAGGCGCAGACCCCGAGGGUUCCCCGGGGCCCGGGGCUGACCGCGCGGGCGCCAGCCCGAUUGGCAGAGCGUCGCCGAGAGGUUUCCACAGGGACGCUCCCGCCCGAAUGCCUCCCUGGGAUUGGCUCAUUUCUUGGUUCAGACCUGGACGGUGGCCAGAGGAGGACAAGAGGCUUUCACAACGAACGGAGGUGAGGCGGGCGACGGAGACGCAGCCGCACUUCAACUAGCGGCCGGGCCCCGGGGACGUGGCGGCGGCCUCUCCAGCGUCAGUGCUGCUGGCGGCGGCGAGAAACCGGUGGCGUCACUGCCUGAGUCCGCUGCUGUUGCCAAGAAUCUCACUUCAUCACCCAGGCUGGAGUGAAUUGGCACUAUCUGAGAUCACUGCAAUCUCCGCCUCUCGGGUUCAGUUUCCACCUCUAGUCUCGUGCCACAGCCUCCCGACUAGUAGCUGGGAGUACAGGCAUGAGCCACCACGCCCAGCUAAUUUUUGUGUUUUCGGUAGAGACCCAGUUCCACCUUGUCAGCCAGUUUGGCUGGUCUCAAACUUCUGACCUCAAGUGAUCUGCCUGCCUUGGCCUUCCAAAGUGCUGGGAUUACAGGCAUGAGCCACUGCGCCCAGCCAGUCAUUGUCUCUUUUAAAGAUUGUGUUGCUUUCUGCCUCAAUACUAAUCAACAUGUUGGAAGUUAUCAAGAAGUUCCUGACAGAUGUAUUUCUAAUUCUGGUGAAGAAAGAAGAAUUGGCCCUUGAUAGGAUCAAUGUUUUACAAUAAUUGUGAAAGAUGGUAGUGAGAGAAGAAGAAAACAUGGAGGGAAUUCAGAUAAAGGACAAACCCCUGACUACUACUGACUUAUUGGGACAAGCAUGAGGGCUAUGAUGUCCAACUUUCUGUACCCACUGGAAGCUUCUACUGCCAGAUGUGGAGGAACCGGAUUCAUGUUUGAAGGGAGACUUCCAAUUGUCUUACACAUCAGAGGCCACCCCCUUUCCCUCUACCUGGUUUACCUUUCCUAAAGACUUUGUAACCAGGAAGUCGCAUACUCUCUAUCCAGGCAGAUGAGUAGAGAUGGUUUGACGUGGGUUUCAAGGCAGCAUUUCAUGCAGGAAUAGGUAGCAAAGCAAGUAUCUGAACACACGGAAAGAAAAGGAAGAUCCCCAGGUGCCGGGAUACAAACAUGGAAGUGAAAAGCAGGGUGACGGGUAAGCAGGCAGGCCGAGGGCAGGGAGCUUGGGGAUGGGGGCCAGGCCUGGGUUCGUCCCUAACACUGAGUCUUCAAGCAUGGCCACCUGCAGGGUGGGAAAAUGAGGCACGGGCCUCCGGAGGGCCAGGAGAGAACUGGGAUCCUGUAUGAAGGCUGCACAUCCAGUGAAAAGGAGGCUGGUGUAGGAGGUGCCACACACCAGCAGGGAGCAGCAGGUGCACUGGGAGGUGCCAAGACAAGCUGGGCAGAUGCCUGGUCCCAGCCAAACUGCCCAGACAUGACAUUAUCACUUAGACCCAGUGGGGUAAUUGGAAGGCUCAGCAGCAAAGUUAAGGUCAGAAUUCCGCUGGACUCACAGCUGGUGCUCUGGCAGUCAGAUCCGGAGCCCAAGAUCACCCCAGAAUACCCCCCAACCAGUGAGGGAGCUGGGCCUGUGCUUCCCAAGGUUUCCACCAAGAACUCUUAAGGCAGAACAGCUACCUCUGGGGAGGCCCAGAGGGAAAGGUCUGAAGCUAUUCCUGGAACCCCAGAUUUCUUUAAAACCUCAAUUUUCCUUUUCGGAUACAUAGGACUCUUGCAUUGCAACCAAAGCAAACUAAAUUGAUGACAAGGUUUCCAGUGGUCAGAGGGAAGUCUCAUACCCCAAGUUACGUGUGUCCCAAUUUGAGAAGCACAGACGAGGGAGGGCUUCAGAGACAACACAGGAGCCAUGGUGGAGGUGAGCUGAGAGGCAGACCCAAGAUCAAAAGCCUAGAUGGGGUCUCCAGUAAGAAGAGGUGAGGCCGGACAAGAGGAGAGUCACACAGUUUGCAUAUAGGUUGGUGAAAGCUUGCUCAGCCAGGCAAUGCAUCGUUAGGGAGGGAAACGCUGUCUACUCUGUGACAUUUUAGAAAUCAAGCCUGGUGAAUGUUAACCUAUGAACUUACCUAAAACCCCUUGAACCGACUGAACUGAUUUAAAUUUCUGUUCUCUAAAUUAAUUUUUAUUCAGACACGACUUAUUUAUAUACACCAAAAACAGCAAAAAAAAAAAAAAUCACCUUGUGAUUGUAUAGAGCACAUUUUCAGCCAUUCUGUGCAUAUUUUAUUGAAUAAAUAAAAACUUUAUUGGGUUGGUUUUUAAAACCUAUAAACAAUAUAGUUUCUUCUUUGAUCACCUAAAAUACACAACUUUAUGUAACUUUAUGUAACCAAAAUGCUUAAAGGAUUUUGUUCACUGAGUGUUGACUAUUUAUGCCGCUACAUAUGAAAAUCUGACCUGUCAAAACUGGUUUUGCAGUAGCCAUAUUUGGAUAUGUGUGGAUUUCUAUAAAGAUUGACUCUUAAAAUUACGAGAUGUAAUAUAACACCUAGAUACCAAGGGAAAAAAUGAGUUUGCAAACCCACGUUGGGACUUACACAAGAAAUCCCUGUGGUGUUUACAAAGUUUAAAAUUCUAUUGAGUACAUUUAUUUUUCAAAAUAAAACAGGCUAAGUAAAUAACAACAGUACCUCAACAACUUCUAUAAACAGCUAAGCUAUACUUUACAGCUAUAAGAACAUGAUAUUUGUAUUUCCCUGAGUGCAUAGUUUGCUUUGAGUUCAAGGGCAUGGUGUAUGUGUGUGUUUCCUGAAGCCACUGAGAUCAGAAUAGAUGAAAGCUAAGAACAUGAACCUGUUGGUGUUGUGAUGAGCUUAGCUCCCUGCUGUUUUAGAUUAGCCUUGGCAACCAGGGUCCCUUCACCUCAUCUACAGAUUCUGCUCCACCACAACUCUGGGCCACCUUCUCUCUAGGACAGGAGACCCAGCUGAGCAGCUCAGAGGCCCCACAGCAAGUGGGCCCAAAUGCUGAGCCUGCUCCAACUUGUGCCUCUGCUCUAAAAAGUGGAUUCCUUCCUUAUUUCCUUGCCUGGAAUUCUCCCUUACCCUUCUUGGGACUAGAGUCAAGUUCACAAACUCCAGGGCCCCUCAUAUCAUCCUUGGAACCUGACCUCCUCCUACCCCAUCUGUGUCUUCCCAGCCUGGGGCGCUCGAUCCACUCCUAGGAUCUGCCUUAUCCAGCCUGCUGUGCUGGAACACCCUGCCACGUCCUGCCCGAGUCUGAGGGCUCUCUGUCUCUGGGUUAAUUCCCAGCUUGGCUUUCCCCCAACUGACGGUGUGGGUGAUAACAGUUACCUUCCUGCAAAUGUGUUUGUCUUUAUUUCUUGGAAUGGAUUUCAGAUUUUAGAAGCUCUCAUCCCUGGCAAGUGCCUAGAAACCAAAACCCUGAUGACUAUACUUAAGUUUCCCCCAAAUGACUUGAACUUACUUUCUCUAAGAGCUACAGACUGGCUUUGAGUUCAAGGGCAGCUUCAAGUACAGAACCCUGUAAAUAGGUGUGUCUGUUCCCUACCCCAUGCCAUCAUUAGGAAUCCCUAUUGCUUGGUGCCAGCUACAUGAAAUUUUCCGCAAUUCACCUGCAUAUCUGGUGCCAUAAGAAAUCAUAAAAACUGCUUCCAUGAUUCAUGUAGGUAUUCUGAAGUAGUCCAAAAACUUGGGUCCUACAUUUACAAUCAGGUUUAGAGCACAGAAAUUCCAAAUCCUCACUUUCCCAGUAUAGGAGUGACCUGAACUGACCUAACUCAGUAUAGGGUUGACCUGUUGAUGGGCUCGAAGUUUGCCAAUCGGUCUUAUCGAAGGCCUGCCAGCCGCUCCCUGACAAGGAGCGCGCUCUUUUUGAGGGGAGGCUCGCUGUGUGUGCCAAUACCGCCAUCUCCAGAAGUUCCUCCCUGCAGUAGUGUUUGGAGCAACACUGAUUUUUUUCCUGUAGUUCACAAAUGGUUCUGGUGGCGACCUUGGAAAGACAAACAUGUAAGCAGUGGCCACUGGUUGACUUUCCUGCACUGCUUACCACCUUGACCCUUUGAGGCAAUCGAGACUUGGAUCCAGCCUCAUAACUUCAUAUGACCUAAUUUUAGCUAACUUGAAGAAAAGAAAAACAAGAAUAUAACUAGUGGCCUAUUUUUCCGUAUUAGUGACUAGCAUGGAGAUUUGAUAUUCACUGGUGUCCUCAAGGCUUGAAAAACAUGAAGAACUCCAUGAAUGUUUGCUGAACUGACCUAGAUGACAUUGCUUGCAUUGGCAGCUGUGAUGGUUAUUACAGUGCUCAUGAGUAAGUGAUAGUUUGUCCUAAAUUUCCACAAGUAUGCUUAUAUUGCUCUGUCUUACUUUUCACAGCAGAGAGCUGAACUGUCAUGCCUUUAAGGCAAGAGCCUUUCACACACCAAUACACAUUUAUAUUUAUCUUCAACAAUCUGGCAUAAACAGAAAUCUCACCUCUAAGUUUCCAGGGGUUUAAAAUCUGUUUCAGAUACUAGCUUCUAACCGUGACUUUUUAAUGAAAAUUAAAUUCACUGUCAACUCCAAUACUCUAACUUCCCAAACUGCUGAGAGGAUCAGGCCGCUCUGGCUAUGAAAUAAACUCUAUAAAGAGAACUGAAAUCAUAGGUGAAAAUAAAGUCCACUGGGUAAUGCAGGCACUAUGUCGCUAUCAUUGUUGCUUUUUAAAUACAGCAUAUGAAACAGGAUCUCUUAACUUGUUUCUCCAGCUUGGGGAUUAGAAGGAAUUUCCAGUGAGCUCAUUUCAGAGCUCUAACUCUUACAGUGAAGGACAGAUUCUGUUCUUUUAAGUCACAGCUGAGCUACACUAAUUAAAAAACCAAGUAGAAGUGCUUUUUAAAAAGUCCUGAAAACUAAGGUUUCAGGAGGAUGGGGUAUCAGGACACGGGUCUCAAUCACUGUCUAAAAACCAGCAAGUUCAUCCGUCAUUCCUGCGGAGGCCAGCUGUGUUCAGGUGUGUACUUUUUACAUAACACAGUAGUUUGAGUCUCUAAAACAUGUUUGCUACAUUACAGUAUGACUGGUGGACGCUAAGAGGCCAGGGCACCAGACCAUGCUAAAGGGACAAUUCUGUCUGGCAAUGACAGUUCUGGUCCAAAAUGGGCCAUCUUAUGAUUAUUAAAAGAAAAAAAAGGCCAGCCGCAGUGGGUCACGCCUGUAAUCCCAGCACUUUGGGAGGCUGAGGUGGGUGGAUCACGAGGUCAGGAGUUCAAGACCAGCCUGGCCAAGAUGGUGAAACACUGUCUCUACUAAAACUACAAAAAUUAGCUGGGCAUGGUAGCAGGUGUCUGUAAUCCCAGCUACUCGGGAGGCUGAGGCAGAAGAAUCACUUGAACCCGGGAGGUGGAGGUUGUAGUGAGCCAAGAUCAUGCUACUUCACUCCAGCCUGGGUGACAGAGUGAAAGGCUUUCAAUGGGAGGAGGAUGGAACACAAGUAUUUCAUCUCUUUCAAAGCAAACAGGCCUUCCCAAGCCCAUCCCCCCAGACCUUUCAAGUGGAAGAACCUAUGAGAUGUUCUUCACAAGGAGCCCAAAUGACUCCUUGGUUUAAAUUUUGGUAAAGGAGGGGGAUGAGGGGGGAUGCAGAAUAAGAAAAGGAAAGAAAACAGGAAACGCCUUUAUUUCCCUGCCUUGCUGAGUGAAUCUUUAGCAGACUCGCUGAAGCAAGAAAUGAGCCAGAUUUUUUGUUUUUGUUUUUGAGACAAGAGUUUCACUUUUGUCACCCAGGCUGCAGUGCAGUGGGCCAAUCUUGGCUUACUGCAACCUCCACCUCCCAAGUUCAAGUGAUCCUCCUGCCUCAGCCUCCCAAGUAGCUGGGAAUACAGGUGCCUGCCACUGCACCUGGCUAAUUUUUCUAUCUUUAGUAGAGAUGGGGGCGGGAUCAUCAUGUUGACCAGGCUGGUCAGGUGAUUCCCCCCAAGUUAGCCUCUGAAAGUGCUGGGAUUACAGGCGUGAGUCACCGCGCCCAGGAUGAACCAGGUUUGGUUUUUGGUAUUUGGUUUUUCCUGCUCUGAGAUAGGCAGCAUGGUGGAAAGGGCAUUGACUCCGAAGCUGAAAGACCUGGGUUUUAGACUCCUGGGGUAGGUACUUGUACUUGCUGAGUGACCAGAGGACACUACUUAGCCUCUGUGAACUCGGAUCCCUCACUGAGGGAACCAGAAGUGAUAAAAGCCAGCCACCAGGCUGAAUGAACUGAUACAAGGAAGCGCCUCGCACAGAGCUGGCACAGGGUAGGUGGGUCCUGAGAUGUAAUUACUCUUCCUCGCCUCCCCUUCUGAGGUAGGUCAUGCAAACAUUUCUGGCUGGUCUCAAGUAUCCCCAGACUGCAACUUCCAAGAUUCCCCCAAAGUGAGCCCCUGACGUACAGCCUCCAACUAGAGGCUGCUGCCUGAAGUGGGGCUGGAGGAGGGUAAGAGGUGAAGCGGGCACACUGAGGGUCUGAGCAGCUCCCCAGCUCCCCAUUCUGCGCUCAGACAGACACCGCUCCAGGCACAAUCCUGCGGAUGUGGGUGUACGACUUCCUGAUGGUGACGCUGCCAUGGUGCGACACACCCCGGGGCAGGACGCACUCCUCUGUCAGUCUCUGGGUCUCGGGGUCCCAGCAUAGCACGGUGGCGAUGACCUCGUUCUUCUCGUCCCUCCCACCAGUGAUGUAGAGCCGGUUGUUACAGGGCGCGAUGCCGCAGCUGGCCCGCUCGUGGCUGAGCUGGGUCACCAGGCACCAGCUGUCUUCCAGGGGGCUGUAGGCAUACAGCGCUCUCAUGGCUCCACCUGAGGACAGGGAGGGAAGAGGUGGACAUCCCUCCAGUUUCUGCCUUCUUCGCUCUUAACCACUAAAACUCAGCUCUGGUUAGGCCAUGUCUACCCUCUUCCCAAUAGAAACAGUAGAUUAAUGGCUCCUCUGAAAACCAGAGUGGGUCCCAGGGGCAGUGAGUGGCCAGCGCUGGAGACACACCCUUUCUGUGCUGCAGCCAGGCACGAAUCCAGCUCUAAGCUAUUCAGAUAAAGAAGAAGCCCUUACUCACCAACAACAUAGAUGCGGUCCCGGAAACUCACUGCAUUGAUGCAUUUCGCCUCCACUGGCAUGGCCGCCUUCAGAUUCCACUUGUUGGUUGAAGGGUCAUAACACUGAGUCUUGUCUGUGGCCAGUUUCCCAUUGGGCCCUCCCCCAAUCACGUAGAGCUUCUUCUUAUGGCUGGUGGCUGCAAAGGAGCUGACGUGGACAAGGAGGGGCGCGGCCUGUGGAGGCACAAGGCACAAGAAGCAGCUGUCAGUCAUGAUGCCCAGGUUGCUGCAGUAGCUCCCAGGGUGCAGGACGGAGCUCCAGGACACAGAACUGGGCAGCUUUUGCCUAAAGUCACAAGGCGCCUGUGCUUCACUCCUCUUAAGACUCAGCGAGAAUGAAAGCAUGUAUUUCCCACCCUCCCUGCAGGCUCCACACAAUCUAGAGCAAGCUGUGUGCUGGCAUGUGCCAGCCUCUCCCAGAGUCCAGCUCUCAGGGAAGGAAGAGGAUAGGCAAGAAUAAGUUUAUACAGAUGAAGUCAGCCAAUGUUGGAGGAAAAUUAUUAUUAUUAUUAUUAUUAUUAUUUUGGAGACAGAGUUUAGCUCUUGUUGCCCAGGCUGGAGUGCAAUGGGGCAAUCUCAGCUCACUGUAACCUUCACCUCCUGGGUUCAAGCGAUUCUCCUGCCUCAGCCUACCAGGUAGCUGGGACUACAGGCAUGAGCCACCACGCCUGGCUAAUUUCGUAUUUUUAGUAGAGACGAGGUUUCUCCAUGUUGAUCAGGCUGGAGUCUAACUCCCGAUCUCAGGUGAUCCGGCUGCCUUGGCUUCCCAAAGUGUCAGGAUUACAGGUGUGAGCCACCACGCCCAGCCCAGGAAAAUGAUUUUUUUAUACAUGCAUGUUCAUAUUAAUUCAUGUGCUUGUCCACUCAAAAAAUAUUUAUGGAGUGCCUACUGUGUACCAGCAUUGAUUUUCCUUGAUGCUUAUGUCUAGGAAGAAAAGCUGGUAUAUGGGUUUAAGGUGGCCACAGGUAAGCGGGCUCUUCCACUAUAGGGCAACACUGAAGCUUUUGAGAUUAAGUCAGACAUGUGCUUCUACCCUGGGAACCCCUGGACACUAAAGGAGCGUCUUGCCCAGUUACAUGACACUUUGCAUCAUGGAGCAGCUCUGGGAUAGGACUUGUUUUGAGGAGAUCUUGGGCAGGUCCCCUGUAAGUGCUAAGAGCUAUCCAUAUAGCACUUUUCAGGCUGACAGUCUUGGCUAGAUGAUGUGGUGACUUGGCUGCCUCUGCUUGUGCCUGCAAUGAUGGGGUUGUACUCUCCAUUAAGCUGGGACAUGCUCGGACAUCUGAUUUGAUAAGGAGAAAGAAAAUUGGAAACUGGGAAUAACCUGGAAAUGAGAUCAGGUAGCUUUUCUUUUCCUGGUGUGAUAUAUACCUGAGGUUGUGCUGCUAAAGUCUGACAUGCAGGCCUGCAAGUGGCUCUUCAUGGAUGAGAAAAUAAUGAGGGGAUGAUUUCUAACAUGACAGAAUAACUCUGGGUUCACAAAUAGUGUAGUAAAGUGAUCUGCACGUGUCCAGUGUAGAGAAGAAUAGGAGAGAAGGCAUCUGAGGAGAAAGGACCCUAGGCCAGGACAUGGAGACCAAGAGAGCUGCCAUGCACAACAGUGUAAGCCUCUGCCCACAUCUGGGGCUCUGGCCGGAUUAGGACAGGUGCCCACACAGACCUUCACCACCUGGAAGACAUUGUUUCUGUGACUUAAUCAGCAAAAAGUAUGGGGGAGGGAAGCUCAGAGCCACCAGAAAUGUUCUCCUCGGAAGUAAUGUGAUCAGAAAGCUGGCUACCACUGUGGGUACAUUCCCAAGCUUUUUUAGAAAAAAAAAAAAAAAAAAAAAAAAACAUUGAAGUAAUAAUACAGACAGUUAGUCGUACAAAUCAUCUCCUGGCUGGGCACAACGAUACCUCAUGCCUGUAAUCCAAGCACUUUGGGAGGCCAAGGCAGGCAGAUCACGAGGUCAAGAGAUCAAGACCAGUCUGGCCAACAUGGUGAAACCCCAUCUCUACUGAAAAUAUAAAAAUGAGCUGGGUGCGGUCGUGGGCGCCUGUGGUCCCAGCUACUCGGGAGGCUGAGACAGGAGAAUCACUUGAGGUUGCAGUGAGCCAAGAUCGUGCCACUGCACUCCAGCCUGGGCAACAGAGUGAGACUCCCUCUCAAAAAAAAAAAAAGAAAAGAGAAAAGAAAGUAUUUCCUCUACCUCUGACCAGCAGUUGUGAAAGGGGUCAUAGGUCUCCACAUUGUUGAUUCUCUGUAAGCCGUCGAAGCCUCCGAUCACAUAGACCUUACCACCCAGCACCACCAUCUUAUGCCUCCAGCGGCCUAUGUUUAAAUACUCAAUCUGAAUCCAUUUGUUGAUCGAAGAGUUAUAUUUCCAAACAUCAUGCUGUGUUUCUUUGCCACCUGCAAGAGAUAAAAAGCAUUUAAGAAACCACCAGAUGUGUCAGAAAUACAGCAUCUCCCAUAAUAUCCCGCAUGUCCAAAAAUGCCAGGUUCCUAGGCCAGCCUCACCUUGAGGGGAGAUCAAAGCAGCCCUGAAGGCGUGUGCGGUCUAGUGGGGAGACAAGGCAGAUGCAGGGGGACAGUGGGAGAGAGAAAUGCAUUGUGAACACACGGUGCCGCGUGCCACCUCAGUGCAGGCAAAGUUCAGAGAAGGGGUAGCUAAGUGAGCGGUGUCCCAGGAAGGCUUCAGAGGGCAGGCCCCAAGUCAGCCUAGGUGGGUAGGGGCCCGAGGGAGCCUGGGCUCAGCGUUCGUGCUCACAAGGAGCAGGAAGUAAGGCUGGGCAGGGACAGUGUGCUUUGUCCAGAAGGCAAAUUACAUGGCAGCUUAAGUUCUAUGUUGACUUAUUUAUUUAAAAAAAAAAAGCAAAGAUACGGACCUGCAAAAAUCACCAAGAAAUCGUACAACAUUCUCUUGGUUUGUCUUUCUGAUCUAUAUAGAAAGAUCAGUGGGACUUACCCUAUUUCUAAAUUAAUAUUUGUUAGAAAAGUACGAGAUGCUCACAACAGAUCAUUUGAGAGUGGCCUGGUAAAUAUUUUCUUGAAGACAGCUCUCUUAAAAAACAGAAAAUAUGUAAUUCAGCAGCUGGGGAAAGAGACAAAAGGGAAAACUGACUUUCUGUGAUUUUAAUCAACGAUUUCACAGCUCUAUUUUUCCAUUUUCCCAUAGAGUACCAGCAACUACUGGAAGCACAGGUUUACUUUGCAGACAUACAUGUGUGCAAUAGUGCAGAAAUGAACACUGCUGACCAGGCCCUGUGUCAGGGUGUUUCUCUAGUAUGGAGCCCGGAAGCGGGUUUUCAAGUCAAAGGCAUGUGCACCUGAACUUUUAUAGGUGUAGCCAAAGCAUCCUCCACAACUGUGCUGGUCGACUUUUCCUCAUGCCCACUUUUUGUAGGUGGAGGUGGUUUUGUUUUCUGUCUUUAAAAAAAUUUUUUUAACAGUCUGACGGAGAAAAACUAUGUCAGUUUGGUUUUUUUUGUCACUACAAGGGAGGCUGAGCUUCCUCUUCCAAGAAUCUUUUGUUCACAUAGUUUGGCCAUUUUUCUUUGCAUGGGGUACAUUUCAGAGGUCUCCAUUUAUUCAAAACACUGUGAUACUGAUCCCAUUUAGGUAGCAUCAAAAAGUAUCAAAUAACUAUAAAAUUUCAAAGAAAUGUAUGCAACCUUUAUAAGAGAAAAACAAAAAACCUAUGAUUUUAUUUUAGGACAAAAAAAAAAACCUGAGAAAGCAUAUUGUGUGCAUAAAUAAGAAGACACAUUAUUGUGAAGAUGUCAGCCCUCCCUAGGUUAAUCUAUAUACACAAUGCCUUCAGGACUUUUGGGGGGAACUUGAUGAGAUAAUUUUAAAUUUCACUGGAAAUAUUAAGUUUCGAAAAAUUUCUAAGAAACUUUUGAAAAAGAAAAUCAAAGAAGAAGGCUUUCCUUGUUAAAUAUUAAAAUAUACUAAAACCCUAUUAUAAUACAAACAUUGUGGUACUAGACAAACUGACAAGAGCACAGAACAGACUAAAAUACAUACAGAUCAUUAAAUAAAUGUUAUUAGAACAAUUGGUUAUUCAUUUGGAUGAAAAUUAAGUUAGAUACUUAUUUUACAUUACAUUUAAAGUAAAAUUCAAAUGUUACUGCUAUAGAAUUAACUGGAGAAUGUAUAGGAGAUUAUGUUAAUGACCUUGGGGUUAGGAGGGGUUUCUAAGCAUAACAGGAAACGUAGAAUUGUAUAGGAAAGAAAACUAUAUAAAUACUAAGUUAAAAAACCACCACAGUCUAGGAGAAAAUAUUCACAACACAAAUAGCAAAGGAUAAAUAGUAACAGCUCCAAAAAGUUAGUAAGAAAAAGACAAAAAUCUGAUAAAACUGUUGAAGGGUAUGAACAGAUAAUUUUAAAAAUAAAUACAAUUAACUGAUAAAUAUAUAAAACAUGCUCAACCUCACUGAUGACCUAGGAAUGUAAAUUUAAACAUUCUAGUCUAUUAAAAAUUUAAAUGAGUAAUAAUAAAAAUCGUUACCAAGGAUAAAGAAAAUGGGCACCACCAUUCAUCACUGAUUGGACUGUAAAUUGGUCCGACUUUUCUGCAGGACAAUUUUGCAACAUAUACGAAAUUACCAGUUCACAUAUGACCACUUCCAGGAAACUUUCCAGUAGCAGCACAAGUAUGAAAAAAUAUAUGUGUCUAAGAAUGCCUACUGCAGUAUGUUUUAAAGAGAUUUUUAAAAGAAAGCUGAAACAAUUAUGGUUCAUCCAUUUGGUAGACUGCGAUAUAGCUGGUAAAAGGAGUGUCAGUAGUGAUGAUACCGGUCAGUGUGAUGAAGCUCCCACCACGUGCCUGGCAGGACGCUGUGCUUGGCAUGUGGUGACUACCUCACUCGAUAUGUAUGUCCAUUAAACCAGCGUGCCAGCAGGUCUAGAUUAUAUUGUUAACUGAAGUGCAAGUUUCUGUUUACUUAACUGUGUAUAACCAGCAUGCUUUCAGGUUCUGCUUGUAUCAUUAAAAAGUGAACAACACAUUUCUGACAAAAGAAUAACAUGUGGGUCGGGUGCAGUGGCUGACGCCUGUAAUCUCAGCCCUUUGGGAGGCUGAGGCAGGCGGAUUACCUGAGAUCAGGAGUUCUGGACCAGCCUGGCUAACAUGGUGAAACCUCAUCUCUACUUAAAAUACAAAAAAAUUAGGCCAGGCACAGUGGUUCAAUCUAUAGUAAUCCCAGCACUUUGGGAGAGUGAGGUGGGUGGAUCACCUGAAGUCAGGACUUUGAGACCAACCUGGCCAACAUGGUAAAACCCCCUCUCUACCAAAAAUACAAAAAUUAGUCAGGCAUGGUGACACGUGCCUAUAAUCCCAGCUACUCAGGAGGCUGAGGCACGUGAACCUGGGAGGUGGAGGUUGCAGUGAGCCGAGAUCACACCAUUGCACUCCAGCCUGGACAACAGAGUAAGACUCCAUCUCAAAAAAAAAAUAAUAAUAACAUGUGUAGUAUAUGUGUCAAAGACUGGCUCUGAUGACCACACCUGUUGAUCCCUCCUGGGCACACAGAUAAACUACAUUUCCCAGCCUCCUGUGCCCAGAGUGGGUAGGGGAGGGUAAGGGAGAUCAUGUUGCUAGUUUUUGCCAGUGGAAUAUGAGCGGAAUAGAUGGCACUACCAGGCUGAGGCUUUUAUGCGCAGAUGUAACUUCUCAACUCGCUCGGCUUCUUUCUCAUCCCCAAAUUGAGGCCAUGUGUAGGAAGAGGCAGUGUCAUGAGAAGGCAGGACCCUAGACCUUUGAGUGCCUGAGUGGAGCUGACUGUCCUCCCCGCGACCCCUGCCUGCUAUUGUGUUCAUUCACUGAGACUUAGAAUUUGUUACAGCAGCUAGAAGUAUUUAUCCUAUGAAAACAGAAAAUAAUCUUUGUACGAAAUGAAAACCCAUAGCAUUGUGAUGGCACAGAAUUGCCAGGUUUUACUUUACCUCCUCUGUACUGUUUGGAUCAUCUACAACAAUUAAAAAAAUAUUUCUACAAGAUGAAAAGAAAGCUAGAGCCUAAUGAAUGGUAUGAACGCGUUGGAAGAACAACCCGCCCUUGGUUUUGGAGGAAGCACGGUCUGGGAUGUCCCUUUCCCCACAACAAGUUCAGAUUCCAGAGAAGCCUCUAAGAGAGAGGAAGGGACGCUUGUCUCCUUCCUUAGGGUCCCAGGAAGAGCCAGGCGGCUUUUGAUGUGAUGGGGAGAGCAUGGGAGUUAGAACUUGGGUUGAAGUCCCGCCUGACACCGACCAGUGUGCGACCUUAGGUAUGUCCGAGAAUCCCUCUGAGCCUCCAUUUGUGCCUACCUUAAAAACACCUACCUUACAGAGUUGAUGUGAGAGGCAAACAAUUAAAUGUUAUUUAAGUUUAAACGUAUCUACCACUCAGUAAAGACGGUUGAAACUGUGUCACUCAAUAAAUAUUUACUGGACAUGUACCCUGCAGUCAGGCACAGGGCUAGGUACAGAGGCUAGACUGUUGAUGGUCACAAAACUUCGGGUCUAAUGGGAAAGGCGGCAUAAAGUCACCAUCAGUACUUAAGCAAACAUGUUCCUAAUGAAAAAGCCUUGGGUCCUGCUGAAGUAUACCCCGUUACAGCCUAAUUAACAUGGGAGGGGUCCGGUUUGGGGGCAGAGCAGAUGUGUUUACUCAUUACUGAAUUCCCACUGUGUAGCUCAGGGACCUAUGCCCAUAGCAGACACUGAAUAAACCCCUGAUCACUUUCCCUCUUCCUUUUCUGUGAAGGACUAGACUUGUCUGCCUCCUCUCCAGGUUUUCUAUUAAUAGUACAACGCUAGCUGGACGAGGUGGCUUACACCUGUAAUCCCAGCACUAUGGGAGGCCGAGGUGGGUGGAUCUCCUGUGGUCCGGAGUUCAAGAUCAGCCUGGCCAACAAGGUGAAACCUGUCUCUACUAAAAAUACAAAAAUUAGCUGGGCAUGGUGGCAGGUGCCUGUAAUCCCAGCUACUUGGGAGGCUGAGGCAGCAGAAUUGUUUGAAUCAGGGAGUUGGAGGUCGCAGCUAGUCAGGAUCACACCACUGCACUUCAGCCUGGGGGACAGAGCAAGACUCCAUCUCAAAAAAAAAAAAGAAAAACAAUAGUGCAAUGCUGCUUACAGUUUAGUGUUUAUUGAGUAGCAAUGUGCCCUCAAGAUAAGACCACCUGAGCUCCUUGGUCCAUACCCUGUCUUACUCAGAGCCAGAUCAUCGCCAAGUCACAGUCAUUCUUCUAGGAUGGUUACCUGGCUGCCACUCAGCAACAUACAUUAGUGCUACUGGGGGCUGGCUUACCUGAGAUGUAGACCUCAUUUUUCAGUGUCACGCAUGCGAACUCCACCCACUUCUUAUUCUCACUCUCCAGCUCGUGCUCUGUUAGUGGGAGCUUGGCCACCUCCAGGCGGCUGCGCCUCAGGGGGUCCAGGCAGGUCACCUCAGCCACAAACCGUUCAUCCUUCGUGCAGCCGCCAAUGAUCAUGAACACCUCAGACUGGAACUCGUGCAUCCUGGGCUUGGUGCGCUCCGAAAUGAUCUGGAAAUCAAUAAGGGUUCAUAAAGGCAGGACAAUACAAUGUUGUCCUUCAGAGCUCAGGCCACGAAGCCAAUAGGAGCAGGCUCCAAUUUCCACACCUGCCACAGCAUGACCACGUGACUUCACCUCCCUGAGCCUCGGUUUCAUCAUCUGUAUCAUGCGGUAUUAGAGAUAAGUACCUCGUAGGUGUGUUUCCAGGAUGAAGUGGGAUAAUGUAUGUAGUAUGCUUCACUCAGGGCUUGGUACAUAACAGGUGCUCAAUAAAUGUUACCUGUUUUUGUUGCUGUUUUAACAGGUCAGGGUCUAUACCAUCAGAGGCACUUCCUGCCUCUCCUCUCCUGUCUGGUAUGAAACCUAAAAUCCUGGAAUUUCAUUUUGGACUUUCCCCCUUGCCUUUAAUUUCUUGAUGAGAUCUCAGACUUUGCUCCCUGUCAGCCUUCUGGAAGAAACAUUCUGGACAGUGACACAUAGAGCAUUCAGAGACUCAGGAAACAAGAACUAGAAGGAAUCGGGGUGUGGCCAGGGAGGUAGGAAGACUGGUUCCAACAUACAGUGUAUGGUCUCGCAGAGCUUCCAACAAGUGAAGACAUCCAUGCUGUGGGCAUUUGGACCCCGCUGAAAGAGCACAGCCUUGCAAGUCAGAGGUACCAGGGUCCUAUCACCGAUGGCCAUGUGGCUUUGGAGAAGCAACACAACCUUUGUAAACUGCUUGUUCAUUUCUCUGCUCCCAGAUGAUUGUGAGCAUUCAUGAGGUGGAGGUGUGAGCAGAGCACCCAGCACAUACUUGCUCCUCAACAGACAGUCAGGCCUGUAGGAGCAGUGGCAGGUACCAUCUUGAUAUUGCUAUAAAAGGAAGAGCUGCCCUUCCCUGGUUCCAUUGGCCCCCUGGGCUCCAUGGUGAAGGUUCCAUAGGAGUGCUGAUGGGAUGCAGAGAGGCAGUCACCGUUUCUAUUGAUCACAGGUGGUGAUAAAUAGGUUACAGUAGCAAACACUGAGCCCUCAAGUAGUGAAUGCAACCUGGAGCCAUAAAUGAUCAGACCAGCCGACUCCCAGCCUCGACUUUGCUGUAACAGUCUUUGUUCGGUUGGUCAGCUUUCUGUACCUCGGAGCCUGGUACAGUGAAUUCUGCAUCCUCAGUUCUUGAGGCUGGACCAUGGCCAUAACAUCUGUGGCGGCUAUUCCUUACAGGUCAGCAGAGUGGGGAUGGGUGUGGCUGGGGGACAAAGCCCAGACUAUGGACUGGGCUAGGGUGUGGACAGCCAACGGUACUGGGGGAAGGGUGGAGCGGGGGUCAGGGAACCUGGAGGCACCAUGAGAGCACCAAGCUGGCAGGACAAGGUCUGGGCAAUGGCGCCAAAGCCAAGCGUGGCUGCUCUGCAACUUUCUCUCCAGCUAUCAGCCCUGGUUCCUGUCCCUAAACCCCAUGCCCCACAGCCGAGGCACAGCCUCCAGCACCAAUCUGGUCCUCUUUUAGAGGGGAUUUAGGUGUUGCAGGCAAUGCUUUGAAAACAGCACGGGCCUCCCAGAAUGGAUUCCCUUGUGACCCUUUCUUCCGUUCUGGGUACCAGGCCUCGGCCUUCACUCCGAAGCUUCCCCCAUCUUAUUUGCAAUGCCUGCUUUCCUGCCCCAGUAACCUGUUGGGUGAUUGAGAGGCCGCUUAGGAGAACUGGACUAGCCAUGGUCUUACCUCUGACCCCCAAGGCUGGCACCUUGUUCCUUGGUCCUGACCAAUGAAAGGCUCUCCUCCUGCUGACUGAAAUCCCUGGGUUCCUGCCUGCUGCCUGGAUCUCCCCAUAAUAUUCUAUUCUCAAUUCCCCAUGCUACCACCCCAAUCCACUUAGCCUUUAAGGCAUGGUGAGUAAUUUACCAUGUAACAUGUCCCUUUCUCCAGGAAGCCAUUCCUAAUAACCCUGAGUUAUUUGCACACAUUCCCAUAACCCUGAGUUUCCCCACAACGGCACUGUUCAUGCUUCAUUGUAAUUUAUUGUAAGACCCUGAUGGCAGGAACGGUCCUUUUUCUCCAAUGGAUCCUCAGCACCAAGAAUAGUACCUGGAGCUUGUGGACAUCUAUAAACACUGAUUAAAUGAGUGAAUGAGCUGGGUGCAGUGGCUCAUGCCUGUAAUCCCAGCACUUUGGGAGGUCGAGGCAGGUGGAUCACUGAGGUCAGGAGUUCAAGACCAGCCUGGCCACCAUGGUGAAAGCCUGACUCUACUAAAAACUUUUAAAAAUUAGCUGGGUGUUAUGGGCACCUGUAAUCCCACCUACUCAGGAGGCUGAGGCAGAAGGAUCUUUUGAACCCAGGAGGCAGAGGCUAUCGUGAGCUGAGGUUGCACCCAUUGCACUCCAGCCUGGGCAAUAAGAGCGAAACUUCCUCUCAAAAAACAAAAUAAAACAAAAAGUGAAUGGAGGAGUGAAUGAAUGGGCAAGCGAGGUAACUCAGUCUAAACCAUUGUGGUAGUGAGCACCCACAAUGGCCCGCAGUGACCCUUCUUCCUGGUAUUCACAUCUUGUGCCCCAGUGACCCUGCUUCCUGGUAUUCACAUUUUGUGUAGUUCCCUCCACACUGUUCUAGAAUCGGUCUCUAUGAUCAACAGAUCACAGCAGAAGUGGUGAUAUAUCACUUCUGAAGUGAGGCUAUAACAGGCACGUCCAGCUUGCAUCCAGAUUACUCUUGCCGUCUUUCUUAGAUCAUUUGUUCUGGGGGAGGCCAGCUGUUAAGAUGCCCAUGUGGCAAGAAACUGAGGCUCCCAACCAGCAGCCAGCAAAGAUCUGAUGCCUGCCAACAGUCCAGUGAGUGAGCUUGAAUCCCACUGGAACUUUGAGAUUACUGCAGCCCCAGCCAACAGUUUUACUGCAACUUCCUAAAGGACCCUGAACCAGAAGCACCGGGCUAAACCACUCCUAGAUUCCUGACACUCAGAGCCUGUUAGAUAGUAUUUGUUAUUUUAAACUUUUCAGUUUGGGGGUAAUUUGUUAUGCAGCAAUUGAUAAAUAACAAUCAUCUAGCUGAUGGGCUUGGAUGGGGUAAUGAGACCUGCCUUAGAACUCUGCGCCACAGAACUGCCAAGUGGUGGCACCAUCACCACAUUGUAAGUUCAGCUACAUUUGGCAAAAUAUUAAAAACAAAUAAAUAAAAUUAAAAUUAAAUAAUUAAAAUUAAAAACCAAUAACAAAUGUCAGUCUGAAGUCUGAGACGUGCCAGGUUGUUGCAGACAGAGAAGUGUCUGCCAGUGAAUUGCAUGCAACAAUCAAGCAUAACCAGUUUACUUUCAGAUUGUUGAAAACAGAGCAGGUACUUGCACCCUAGUGCCUGCUCACUCUCUGCAGAUCCUGUACAGGGGACAGAGUGAUCAUAUUGUUUCAGCAAAGAUGUCAUUGGGCUGGAGCCUCUGCCCCCUUUUCCAUAUCACACACAUCAGAGUCACCUUUGCCAUAGACCAAGUUCAUGUCUGAAAACGUAGGAGGCAAUUAAGUGAAGAGGCAACUUUCCUCUGUCCCCAAAGACCUCUUCAAUGAAGGUUUCAGCUACCACUCCCAAAUCAAAUGGAGAUUGACAUUUGCUUUUGGUGUUCUGAAAUUUCCCAUUGUUACCACCCGUGUAGAGGACAGGCAAGGUUAAAAAAGAAAGAUGAUGAUAAGACAAGAGGGUUAAAGUUUGGUAACUAAAGGGUAGGGGGAGAAGUGUGUUCAGGCUUACUCUGCUGCCAUCAGGAGUCAACCCAAGGCCAUGCCCGCAGUGAGCAGACUGGAUUCCCAGGGAAUCAACUGGCAAUGAGACCCCAACUGGGAGGCCUUGGUCAUUGGUUGGUUGGUUCAGUUGCCCAAAUUAUAAAAUGAGGAUGAGACAUCACCUCGAGAAGGAUUUGGGAAAAUAAGGCUGCAAAAUCCUGGGACACACUGAAAAGACUGAUUUUAGCCCCAGAGAAGAAAAAUGAUUGUGAGAGAUGAAGCAACGAUAAAGGAUCCAAUGGCAAUGACAAUAGCUUCCACUUGUGGGACACUUAGCAUGCACCAGACACUGUACUGAGCAUUCCAUUCAUUACUUAAUUCUCAAAACAGUUCUGUCAGUUGGUAGGUAUUAUUAUCCCAUGUUACAGAUCAGAACUGGGCCUUAGAGUAGCUAAGUAAUUGCCUGAGGUUACACUGUAAAUAAAUGGUGCUAUCAAAGUUCAUGCUAGAAGAAACAGAGAUCCUAAAUAGUCCUAUAUCUGUUAAAUAAAUAUUCAUUAAAGUUUUAAAACUUUCCACAAAGAAAACACCAGGCUGUGGCAAAUUCUACUACACAUUUAAGGGUAUGUUUGCAGAGUGAAUGAAUGAACAGUGCCUCUAAAGACAACCAAAAAAAUUAGAAAAGAACACACAGAAAAAGGGAGAAGCUCCAAAAGAAACUCAGACAAUCCCUGGGCCACAUUUGGCUGAGGCUUCUACCAAUGGCCUAAUGAAGGAGGCUUGGUACCGAAUCCCAGAACCACUGCAUAGUGAGGCAUGAGUGUUCAUGUGUACACACUGUUAACAAGAUGUUCCUAUAUCAUUACUUCCUCUCCACUAAAUUCGUACUUGUCUUUAUGAAGUUCUGAAUAAAAAUCUUCAAGAAUUGUUAAGGAGAACCAGGUAGAUCCAAAUGAUAUGUUUAUUCACCAUUCGUAGUACCCAUUUAAUCAUUCAACAAGCAUUUGCCAAUUACUGAUUCACUGUAUAGCAGUAUUAGAACUCUCCUAAGAUCUGGAGAUGAAAAGUGUAAUAAGACUUAUUUCCUGCUAUAACAAGCUCCCAGUCUAGAGAUAUUUACAGAUGAUAACUUCAAAUGGUUAUCGUGCAGCAAUUGGUGCUUGAUAGAGCAAUGCACCAAGUGCUGUGAAAACAUGGAGAGUGGCUGGGUGUGGGGCUCACAACUGCAACCCUAGCACUUUGGGAGCUGAGGUGGGAAGAUCACUUAAGCUCAGGAGUUCAAGACCUGCCUGGGCAACAUAGUGAGACCUUGUCUCCACAAAAAAUUUAGAAAUUAGCCGGGUGUGGUAGUGCAUGCCUAUAGUCCCAGCUACUUGGAUGGCUCAGGUGGGAGGCUUGCUUAAGCCUGGGAGGUCAAGGCUGCAGUGAGCAGUGAUUGUACCACUAUAUUUCAGCCUGGGCAACAGAGCAAGACCUUAUCUAAAAUAAAUAAAUAAAUGGAAAAGUCUCUGGAGAAAGUGAUGCGUGGACUGGGUUUUGAAGUAGUAGAAGUCAGCUAGAUGAAGAAGAGGAGAAAAGCAUUUGAACAACACUCGUAUUGACCUGGAGGCAGAAAAAGCACAUCUACUUUGGGGAACCCCAAGCAGGGCAUUAGGACUGCAGCAGAAGCGGGAGGGGGAGAGGAUGCUGAAGAAGCAGGCGGGAGGUUAAUGAGGCAAGACCAGGCUCUGGGAACACCAGCAGGAAGUAUGGGCUUUAUCCUGAAGGUGAUGGGGAGCCAGUGAAGAAAGCAAGCCCAGGAGCAGGAGGAUCAGACUUGGGUUUCAGAUAUUCCAGCUGGUGAAUAAAUUGGAGAGAGGCUAGACGUGGGGCAGGGAGAUGAGUUUUGAGAAAUUUCCAGAAAUUUAGAUGAUGAGAGUCCAAAUCCAAGAGAUGCAAGUUUUCAUCAGAGUGGGCAAGGACGAGCAGACCCCCAUGGAAUAGUGACUAGACAGGGUACGUUCUUGUUUUUGUUUUGUUUUGUUUGUUUGGAGAUGGGAUCUCACUCUGUCAGCAAGCUGGAGUUCAGUGAUGCGAUCUUGGCUCACUGCAUCCUCCUCCCAGGUUCAAGCAAUUCUCUUGCCUCAGCCUCCCGAGUAGCCGUAGCUGGGACUAUAGGCACGCACCUUCAUGGCCAGCUAAUUUUUUGUAUUUUUAGUAGAGAUGGGGUUUCACCAUGUUGGCCAGGAUGGUCUCAAUCUCUUCACCUUGUGAUCCACCUCCCUCGGCCUCCCAAAGUGCUGGGAUUACAGGCGUGAGCCACCGCACCUGGCCCAGGGCAUGUUCUUAUUUGUGUGUGCAGUGUGGCCCCCAACCUCCCACCCUUCAACAACUGGGAAGAGGAAGCAUGGGCCAGGCGUGGUGAUGAGUGAUUUCUACAUCUCACCUAAUCCUCUCAGUAACUGUCUGAACACAUGGGAUCGGACUCACAGAUCGGGAAUCAGGGAUUCUGGAACUGCCUGACUCAUCAAUGAGCAGGGCAGUGUUUUCUCCUUAAUGCCCUAAGGACUUUUGAAUCCACUUUGCUUGCAUCUCUAUGAGUCCCUAGCUAAUUCCUCACUUCGCUGGUUAAAUAUAGCACCCCUUAUCUUUGACUCACCUCAUUGCCAGAAAGGUGGUACAUCCUGGCUUCCUGGAGCAGCGGGAAGACCUCUGGACACUGCCUGAUGAGAGGAUCUGCUUCUACUGUCUCCACAAAGUACCAUGGGUCCAGAAGCGGUAAGCGCACGUUCUCAAGGACGUAGGGGAGUGAGCAGAGUCGUUCUGAUGGCUUGUGCCGGACCCAGCUCAUCACAGUCUCAAAUACCUGAGCCUCCUCAGUCACGUAAAGGUCAUCACUCUUCAAGAUGUGGUGCAGAGUGUCCACGGGUAGGUCAAGGAACUCCUCAGAGUUCAGAAUCUGCACAAAGUUUUGAACAAUGUAACUCUGAACCUGCUUCUUUAGAGUGUCCAACGAGUGUGUAUCAGCCAGCCUCAGUAUUCCAACACAGUUUUCUGGGUUCAAGGCUUCAGUGAGGAAGCUGGCACAGGCAUCCACCAUCCGCAGAAACUGAUGGAAUAGAAAGGGCAGAAAGGAGGCAGAAAACGAUGAGUCCACAAGAGGUUUAUCAGUGAGUUGGGUGUAGUAGCCAAAAAUGGGAAACAACAUUUGUCCAACAGUACUGAAAUACAUGUAAUACAUUCAUACGGUUGACAGCUCUACAGUUACUUCAACGCAUGUUGUAGGAGAAUAUUAAACAAAAUGGAAAAUGUUCAUAAUGUAUUGAGUUUUAAAAUCCGUUUAUUGGAUCUGAUUAAGCCUCUACAUUUAAUCAGCAAUUUUUGGGAAAUACAGGGGAAAGAGGAGCCUGCUAAAUGACGCCAUGGCAACACAAUCAGCAAAAUCCAGACUGGAAAACUCGACAGAACAACUUGGUCAGUUUCUUCAACAAAACAUUACAAGGGGGAAAAAAGAGAGAGAGGAGAAGGAGAACCUAAAGAUAAAAAGAGAUUUAAGACACGUCAACCCAUUGCAAAGUACAGAUUUUAUUUGGAUUCCUGAUUCAAGCUAUAUAUAUAUAUUUUUUUAAAGUUGGAGAAAUGUAUACAAUGACUAAUAUUUGGUGAUAAUGCAACAAUUAUUCAUUUUAGGUGCAAUAAUGGUUUCAUGUUUAUGUUUAAGAAGAAUCCUUAUUAGAGAUAUAACAGAAAUAUUUGCAGAUAAGAUGAGAAAAACACUUUGCAAAUCGUAUGUACAUGAGGAUUCUGUUUUUAUAAAGAAAACAUACAGAAUAAAGUCAUAGAAAAAAUACUAAAGGAUAUAGGUUAUCAGGUAUCUUAAGGCAAAUUAUUCUGUAGUAGCAACCCCCACAUCUCAGGGGCUUACAACAAUAAAUGCUUCUCUCUCACAUGUAAUACGUUCAUACAGUCGACAGCGCCAUAGACACUUAAAAAACACAUGGUAGGAGAAUAUUAAAUGAAAUGGAAAAUGUUUAUAAUGUAUUGAGUUUUAAAAUCUGUUCAUUGGAUCUGAUUAAGACGCUACAUUUAAUCAGCAAUUUAUGGGAAAUACAGAGGAAAGGAACCUGCUAAAUGAUGCCAUGGGAACACGAUCAGCAAAAUCCAGACUGUGGAAAACACCAUGUGUGUUCUUCCCAGGGCUCUUCAUUCCAGGGCCCAGGAAUGUGGAAAAGCCCUUACCUGAGAUAUGCUGGUCUCAUGACAGAAGGGGGAAAAAGAUGGCAGAACCACACAAAGGCUUUUAAAACUUCUGCUCAGAUGGGGCACAUGCUACAUUCAUUUAUGCAAAACCAUCCAGAGUAAGUUACAUGGCAAAAUUUGUCAUCAAGGGAACCACAGUUCUCCAAGAGAAACAGGUAUCAUGGGAUAGACAGGGAAUAUACUAUACAGAUAGCAGAAGGUACAACACACUAAUAAGACUAUGAGAAUUUUUCUAGUUUGGUUUAUUUAUAUAUUUUAUUUAUAUACUCUAAGAUGAGUAAGUACCACUUUUGUCAUUAAAAAUUAAUUUAUAAAAUUAUUGAUUAGCUGUCAGAUCCCAUUUUUAAGUUAUCAGCAUUCUCAUAAAAAUUCAAGUCCCAGCCAGGCUGGGUGGUUCAUGAGGUCAAGAGAUCAAGACCAUCCUGGCCAACACGGUGAAAACCCGUCUCUACUAAAAAUACAAAAAAAUUAGCCGGGCGUGGUGGCACAUGCCUGUGGUCCCAGCUACUCGGGAGGCUGAGGCAGAAGAAUCACUUGAGCCCAGGAUGUGGAGGUUGCAGUGAGCCGAGACUGUGCCACUGCACUGCAGCCUGGUGACAGAGCAAGACUCCGUCUCAAAAAAAAAAAAAAAAAAAAUUCAAGUCCCUUAUGCUUGUACAGCACUUUACAGAUGACAAAGCACUGUUAUAUGCAUUGUAUUUUUUAAUAUCCAUUUUAAAGAUGAGGUGUCUCCAAUGCAUUGGUUCAUUCUUAUUUGUUGUUCUCUAGAGCUUAGCUUUGAACAGUUCAGCCCCCUAGCUCCCUUCCCUGUCGACUGGACUCCUUAUAGGGUCAAGUUCUUGGUGCACAUGGAUUGAUCGAUUAAUGGGAGGAGAGGAAAAGGGAGGCUAAGGAGGCACGACCUGGUGGGGGAGGCCUUCUGAAGGCAGGUUCUGGUGAGAGUAGGGAUGGUACAGACCUAACUGGGGAGGGAUGGCAGGAGCUGGGGGGGAGUGGGGCUAUGGAGCCUGAAGGUUGAGGGUGGGCAGGACUGGUUCUAAGAGUGGACCAAGGUGACCCAGGCUCUGGACUUUACUCCAGAGCAUGCCAGGGAACACAUCCCUGACUUUUUGGAUCAAUCUCUAUUGCAAAAUAUUUUCUGUGUCAGACCACAUAGAAUUGACAGUUUAAAAAGCAUUUCUCUGGCUGGGUACAGUGGCUCAUGCCUAUAAUCCCAACUCUUUGGGAGGCCAAGGCAGGCAGAUCACCUGAGGUUGGGAGUUCAAGACCAGCCUGACCAACAUGGAGAAACCCGUCUCUACGAAAAAUACAAAAAAUUAGCUGGGUGUGGUGGCAGGUGCCUGAAAUCCCAGCUACUUAGGAGGCUGAGGCAGGAAAAUUGCUUGAAUCUGGGAGGUGGAAGUUGCGGUGAGCCAAGAUCACGCCAUUCCACUCCAGCCUGGGUGACAAGAGUGAAACUCCAUCUCAAAAAUAAAUAAAUAAAUAAUAAAAGCAUUUCUUAGAGGGUCAAUGCAAAGUUGGAGAAGGCCCGAAUUCUGCCUCAGAGCCCAUGUCUGCUGGCCUCUACCGCCGGCAGCUCUGCUCUUCGCAUGAGCAACCAUGGAAACGGUUGAGACUGAGGCUGCUAACACCUGCUUGGUCGUUAGCAGAUUUUUCAGUUCAAAGAGUAAAAACAUGCAAUCAAGCCCAAGCCCCUUGAGCCCUCCGAACCGGACACCAGAGCCCUAUCUGGCCCUGUUCACAGAGACGUCUAUGCGAGCUGAAAGGAAACUCACUUCAAUGGUAGCCCCCAGUGCAAAAUGCCACGACCAUCGUGCCAGCGUUUGCAUGAGGGAAAAACUGAAUAGAUAUGUCUAGGUACUUAGACUAUCUCUGGGAGCCCGCACAAGACCUGAUAACAGUGAUCUUGCCUAUGUUGGUGAUAAUGAAAUGUUUAUUAUUCAUUUUAGGUGCAAUAAUGGUUUUAUGUUUGUGUUUAAGAAUCUUUAUCUUUUGACACACAACUGAAAUAUUUGUGGAUAAAAUGAGAAAAGCACUUCACAAAUCAUAUGUACAUUAUGAUCCUAUUUUUAUAAACAAUAGAAUAAAGUCACAGAGGCCAGGCACAGUGGCUCACACCUGUAAUUCCCAUCCAAUUUUCUCAUUUAUAGAGAGAAUACGAGAAGGUAACAUACAAAAUGCUAGCAGUUGUUAUAAAGUUUUUAACUGUGAGUUUACUGUAUGACCAAGCUUUAAACUUGAGCAUGAACAUUGUAAACUCAGGAAAAAAAUACAUAAAAUAAACACUUUAUUGUGAUUUUAAAGGACACAAUGAAAAAAUAAAAGGUAAAAACUAAGCACUAACUGUAGGCCAGACUCUACACACUAAGAGUUACUUGAUUCCCACCGCAACACCGUGAAAGAGGAGUUUCUUAUGAUCCCUGAGGAAGCCAGAGCCAGAGGACUAAUCUCCUCAGAGACUUACAGUUAAUCAAAGAUAGAACUAAAGUUUGAACCAGUCAUCUCUGAUUCCAAAAACGCAGGUUUUUUAUACUAUUGUUCAAGCUGCUUCAGGUCGAAUAACGCGUGUGGCGGCCAAAGGCUUGCCAGACGCCAAAUGUCAUUUGCACUGGGUAGCUCAGAUGACCUGAUCUGCCCCGGCACAGAAAGGACCAGCCAAUUCCUAGUUCUGCUUGAUGACUAUUGAUGAGCAAAGAAGGAAAACCACAGAGGAGAAUCCAAUCAAGUCCUGAGGCUCACGUUUGUCAGAAGCACUGACCCAAACUCGUCUCUCUUCUCUCCACCUGUCAGCUGACCCUCCAGCCACCUGUGUAUGGACCAAAUGUGAAUCAAGCAUGUGUCCUUUUUUAUUUUACGUCAUGUUCUGGAAUACACGUGCAGGCAGAAGGUGCUGGUUUGUUACCUAGGUAUACAUGUGCCAUGGUGGUCUGCUGCACCUAUCAACCCAUCAUUUAGAUUUUAAGUCCCAAAGGCAUUAGGUGUUUGUUCUAAUGCUCUCCCUCCCCUUGCCCCCCCACCCCUGGACAGGCCCUGGUGUGUGUUGUUCCCCUCCCUGUGUCCAUGAGUUCUCAUGGUUCAGCUCCCACUUCUGAGUGAGAACAUGCGGUGUUUGGUUUUCUGUUCCUGUGUUAGUUUGCUGAGAAUGAUGGUUUCCAGCUUCAUCCAUGUCCCUGUAAAGGACAUGAACUCAUUCAUUUUAUGGCUGCGAGCAUCUAUUAAUAUUACAUAGGCGGCUUCCAACUAGUGCUGGGAGUACAGAGGUGAGCAGAGACAAAGUGCCUGUGCUCACUGAAGCCGGCAGACUAGUGGAGGCAGCAGAUGCUAACCAAGUGAUACAACACGGAGUGCGACGGAACAGCGGAGACAAAGGCUGCGCACCCAAGGCCAGGGAUUCCACCACCUGAAACCAGGGACGGUCCCACUCCCACCCUUCCAUCUCCCACAGUCUGGCUGUCAGUCCUCACCAGGACUCUCCCCGACAGAAACCCAGCUACGUUCACACCCGUCUCCUCGCCUUCUCCAAGGAGUCCUUGAUGGCUUCUCCUAGUGAUUCUAACAUGGAAUCCCUCUUCUCUGUGCUCCACUGGGGACCUCAUUUGCCCCAUUUGUGGAGCACCCAGAGCAUUUCCGUCGUGUACUAUGGUCAGCUGAGACAAGCAUCUCAAAGCAGCUUCUAGGUCAUACUUGUGUAUUUAUUUCACAAUAAUAAUGCUAGCAGCAUCUAGCACAGAGCCUGGCAAAAGAAGAGAGAGACAGAGGAAGGACAUAUGUAUCGCCUACCGGGUACCAACAUCUGUGCUAGACACGUUCCCAUUCCUGAUUUCACCUAACAUUUUAUUUUUAACAAGUCUAUUUUAUUUAACAGGUAAAAAAGGGAAGGUGUUAGAAUUAGCAUUUGUAGAGAAGCACGAAUAAAGAAUGUGAAGAGCUGUGCACGUUCGCACUGGUAGGAGGUGGCACGGGGGAUGCUCCAGUCAGCAUCGCACUGCCUUUGUAACUUGCUGCAUUGUUGAGCUAACAGAAUGCCAGGGGGUCUGAAGAGGCUUUAUGAGGACAAGGGUAGGUGGGGGAUCUCCAAGUUGCCAAAAUUCUCCCAAAAUAUAUUUUAAUAAACACUUCUGAGUGUGAGGGGUGUCGGGCAGCAUCACGUCAUCCCAACAAAUGGCUGGGAAAUUGUUGAUGUGCAUGGCAAUUGUGGGAACCAGAAAUGGAUUUUUUUUUUUUUUUAAGAUGGAGUGUUGCUGUGUUGCUAGGCUGGAGUGCAGUGGUGCAAUCUCGGCUCACUGCAACCUCCGACUCCCUGGUUCAAGCAAUUUUCCUGCCUCAGCCUCCCAAGUAGCUGGGAUCACAGGCGCGUGCCACCACACCCAGCUAAUUUUUGUAUUUUUAGUAGAGACGAGAUUUCACCAUUUUGGCCAGGAUGGUCUCAAUCUCCUGACCUCGUGGUCCGCCUGCCUCGGCCUCCCAUAGUGCUGGGAUUACAGACUAUGCUUUUGCUGUUUCACAUUCAAGUUUGUUCAAGACUAAGUUUUCUGUCUCGGCCUGUCCCGAUGACACACGAACUUGUUUGUUAGAGCUGCGAGAUGACAGAUAAUGGCGAAAGACAGCCAACUUCCUGUUUGGGGGGACAUGUGAGCAAAAGGUUGCAGCCAGGCACCUGACUCUCAGAUGGGGAGGCUAAAAAUACAAACAAAGGAAACACUUGAGAAGCGUCUGCCUCCAAGAGAACGCACUGCCUGCUCCUCACCUCCACUGUCCUCUGCUUCUCCCUGAUGUUCUCCAAAACCUGAGGUCCUAGGGGGCUUCACCCAUGUGACUCCACGUCUCCCACAAGGUGCCUUCAAAUCCACUUCAGGAUCACUGAAAUCCCAUUUUAGUUUACAUCAGCAGUUCCACGGAUCAUGGUGUCCAAGUGGCCUUGGAGUUAUUGCAAAGGUUCUAUAAGGACAUUGAUAUUCUCACCUUCAGCUCUGACAAAUCAGCGUGUGUGAAGGGCAAGUUGAUGAGAUUAAUAAAAUUUAAAUUUAUUUCAAAGUUUUUCUGAAUUCAUUGUAAUUUUUUUUUUUUUGAGACAGAAUCUUGCUCUGUCACUCAGGCUGGAGUGCAUGCUGUGAUCUUGGCUCACUGCAGCCUCCACUUCCUGGGUUAAGCAAUUCUCGUGCCUCAGCCUCCCAAGUAGCUGGGAUUACAGGCUCGCACCACCAUGCCCAGCUAAUUUUUGUGUAAUAUUUUUAGUAGAAACAGGAUUUUGCCAUAUUGGCCAGGCUGGUCUCAAACUCCUGGCCUCAAGGGAUCCACCUGCCUUGGCCUCCCAAAGUGCUGGGAUUAUGGGUGUGAGCCACUGUGCCUGGCCAAUUGUAAAUUUUUGUCAACACUUUUCUUCUCUGGCAAUAGAUAGUAAAAGUAAAGCUCCUCUCCUGUGAGGUCUGUAUUGGUGUUUAAAAGGGGUCUUCAUGCUAAGAAAUUGUGAAUUACCUUUGAUCCCAAUCUUCCCUCCUUAUCUCUCUUCCCCUCUCCCAGCCAACGCUCUAGUCUCAAUCCUAUGGCAGCGUGCCCCACAGCCCCCAGGAAGGACGUCCUCUGCUCCCUCCUUUCAGUCCUUGCUCUAGAUUUGGCUGAGAAAUCUGCUGGUUCCUGGAAGCCUCAUGGAGUGGGCAGAAAGGGGAGGAACUAAGACCUGCAAAAGACCUGUCACUAAGGCAGGGCAGGUGUGGGGGCUGAGGCAACUGUGGAAGUGGACUGACCUCAGAAGUGGAAUCAGAGGGAAAAGACCCACAAUGUGGCCAGCGUAGUCAAGAUUCAAGCAGUAAACAUCCCCUGAGUUUCCAGAGGCGACAGUGGUGGCCCCAGCAGGCUAGCAGAGCACAACGGGCAGUACGUGUGAGCCACAUAUUCAAGGGGCAGGUGGUAUGGCUGGGGCACAGUGAUUCAGCCCAGCGACAAGGUAAAGACCAGGGAGAAACACCGUUGUAAAGACGAGGUGGAAUGAUUGUAUCUGGAACAUGGUUGAUGCUCAGGGUGUGGGGUAUGUGUGUGGAGGGCACGGGGGCAGGUGUGGAAGCAGAAGCCAAGCGCUGAGAAGCAAGCCUGUGAAUGCAGGCAGCCGCGGGUGUGGAAGGCUGAAACAAGUAUUCCAGGUUCUCUCUGCCUGGAAUGCUUUUUUCCCCAUCCUACUGCCACCCAUUCCAUGACAUCCAAGUCAAUGUCCCCUCCUUUCUGCCUUGGGCUCUACUUGGUUUGUCCAGUGGGCUGGAGGCUCAUUGAGAAUCUUUCAGGGAUAGUGGCGGACAGUGGAUAGAUGGAGUUGGAGGUUCUGGGUUUUCUUGCAGAACCCCACCCAUAGCUCCACCACAUGAUGAGCUGAAUUCCACCCCACCCCCACCCGUCUCUCUCUCAGCCAGUUUUCUCCUUUGGAAAGUGCUGAGAACCUAAAACCCACCUUGCAGGCUGAUUGUGAGGGUACUACCCAGCCUGCUAACCCACAGAGUCAUCGUCAACAUCAAAUGAGAUAUGGAGGAGACAAAGUUGCUACAUAAGUGUGAUCUGUACUCCACAUUUAUAAUCUUUAUUUUCUCCUCACAGAUUCUCACAAAUCUCCUUGCACUUAGAACAUGCUUAGUAACUUAUGGCUGUUAGGAGCAGUUAAAGUCAGAUUCUGGUAGCAAUAUGGGUUUUCAUUACGAUUAAAACCCCGCACCCCACUUCCUGUACUUCAGGGGCCAUAGGCAGCAACUGAGUACAGGCUUACUCAGGAGAGCGUGAGAGAGCAGACAAAAGAAGAUCACUCUUGGCUUCUGAGUUUCUAAAUAGGCUUUCAGAACUUACACUAGAAAAGAGGUUUUGAAAGAAAUACCAGUUAGUGGCAAGAACCUAGCCCUUUCAGCCUCAAAAGUCAGAAUUCUCAAGAGUCUAGGCAGAAAGUUUAUACUGAAACAGGAGACGGGGGAGAAUGGAUGAUAAUGCAAGAGCCAGCUUUUCCCACCCUGGAGGCAAGGACUGGGCUUCUUAGUGUCCCCUGGAAGGAGACCAAGUAAUUUCUGUUGGGGUCUUGAGCAGUUUUUGUUUUUUUUUUUUCUUGAGACGGAGUCUUACUCUGUCACCCAGGCUGGAGUGCGGUGCCUCGCUGUAACCUCCACCUCCCAGGUUCAAGCGAUUUUCCUGCCUCAGUCUCCUGAGUAGCUGGGAUUACAGGUGUACACCAGUAGAUCCAAGAUGGCCGAGUAAGAGCAGCUCAGGAUUGUAGCUCCCAGCAAGAGCACGGAGGGUGAGUGGUCGCGGCAUUUCCCGGUGGAUUUUUAUUGCCCACAGACCAGGAGAUUCCCCAGGCAGAGGAGCGCCAUGGGUCUCCAACGCGGCUGUUUCAGCUGGCAUGGCUGUUUCAGCAGGCGCGGCAGGUCUUCGCACAAAAACAACUCACAUGGGUCCGGGCACCAUUUCAGCUGGUGACUGGAGCACCUGGGAGACAGAGUCGCCAUUCAACUGAUAAAGAGGGGACUGAAACAGGGAGCCAGGCCAGGAGAUUCUGGGCAGGAAAGCACCUCCAGUGUGGCUGUUUCAGCCAGUGCAGUGGGUCUCUUCACAAAAUCUCACACAAAUCCCGGUGCUUUUUCAACUGGCGACUGGAACGCCUGGGAGACAAAGUCCCCCAUUCAACUGAAAAAAAGGGGACUGAAACAGGAAGCCAGGCCAGGAGAUUCCCAGGUGAAAAAGUGCCACGAGCCCCCAGCGCAAUCCAGGCACCAUUUCAACUGGUGACUGGAAUGCCUGGAAGACAGAGUCACCCGUUUAACUGAAAUAAAAGGGGUCUGAGGCAGGGAGCCAGGUGAUCAGGCACGGCCGGUCCCAUCCCCACAAAGAGCAGCAAUCUGAAAUGCUCAGGAUUGAGAGUUUCACAGCAAGCACAGCUGAAUCCGGGACAGUCCUGCUCUAUGGGGGAGGGGCAUCCGCCAUUACCAAGGCAGUCCACCACUACUGAGGUAGUCUGCCAUUGCUGAGGCAGUCCACCUUUGCUGAGGCAGCCCGCUAUUACAGAGGCAGCCUGCUAUUGCCAAGGCAGUCUGUCAUUAUGGAGAGAGUUCGCCAUUAUGGAAGUGGGCCACCAUUGCCGAGGCAGUUCUAACCAUACCCCUAUAAACAGGACUGCAGGGAAGUUUACAUGGCAGCUGGGCAGAGCCCACAGCAGCUCAGCAAAGCCUCUACAAGCAGACAGUGACUAGGCUGCCUUCUUGCUGGGCAGGGCAGCCCUGAAAAAAGGCAGCAGCAUGACAGAAACUUAUAAAUAAAGCCCUACCUUCCCAGGACAGAGCACCUGGGAAAAAAAAGACUGUUAUGAGUUCUCCUGCAGCAGACUUAAAUGUACUGCCCAGCAACUCUGAAUGAAACAAGGGAGCUCACAGCUCAGCACUUGAGCUCCUAUAAAGGACAGACUGUCUCCUCAAGCAGCUCCCUGACCCCCACAUAUCCAAAGAGUCACCUCAUAAAGGAGAGCUCAGACUGACAUCUGGCAGGUAUCCUUCUGGGACAAAGAUAGCAGAAGAAGAAACUGGCAGCAACCCUUACUGUUCUGCAGCCGCUGCAGGUGAUCCCCAGGCAAGCAGGGUCUGGAGCAGACCUCAGCAGUACUACAGCAGAGGGGCCUAACAGUUAGAAGGAAAACUAAGAAACAGAAAGAAAUAACUUCAUCAUCAACAAAGCAGGAUGUCCACUCACAGGUGCGCACCACCACACUCGUCUAAUUUUUUGUGUGUUUAGUAGAGACAGGGUUUCAUCAUGUUGGCUAGGCUGGUCUGGAACUCCUGACCUCAGGUGGCCCACCUGCCUCGCCCUCCCAAAGCUCAGGGAUUACAGGGAUGAGCCACAGCACCCUGCCUCAUGAGUUUUUAAUAAUAAAAAUAAAAGUAACACACAUGGCAAAUUUCUUAAACAAACAUGGCAGUGCCCUGAUUAAGAAAUCAUUCUCCUUUAAGAUGGAGAAAUUUGCCCAAGUCCUUCCAGUCAUUGUCCAGGUCAGUAGUUUGGGGCUGGCUUGCUUAUCUAUGAUGCAGAAGCCUGACAGUCUGGUUAAGGAACAGGGGACCUUGGCCUCUCUAGAACUAACACUCAUAAGGAAACUGAGUACAAUUGCUUCAGAGAGAAACUUACUAAUUUUUGUCAAGAAAGUAAAAGAGAUUUGGGUUUUUUCUGAGGCAAGGGAUUACCAGAAUAGGGAAAUUAACAAUAAAUAAAGCUUGCCCUGCCUCUGUGCUGUGUCUGUCAUCUCCUACUUUUCUCAUUAAAACCAACAUCUCUAUGGAAGUUCAUCACUUGAGAGAAAAUAAAUGAAAAUGGGGCAGGGUGUCAGGGGAGUGGAGAAAAAUAAUAAAAAUACUUGAUGCUAAGUGAUUCUGAGUAUAUUAAAGUUGGAUUGGCACGGUGGCUCACGCCUGCAAUCCCAGCACUCUUAGGAGGCUGAGGCACUUUGGGGGGCCCAGGUGGGCAGAUCACUUGAGGUCAGGAGUUCGAGAACAGCCUGGCCAAUAUGGUGAAAAUCCAUCUCUAGUGAAAAUAAAAUAUCAGCUGGGCUUGGUGGCAUGUGCCUGUAGUCCUGGCCACUUGGGAGGCUAGGGCAGGAGAAUUGCUUGAACCUGGGAGGCAGAGGUUGCAGUAAGCCAAGAUCGUGCCAUUGCACUCCAGCCUGGGCAUUGCAGUAAGACUCUGUCUCAAAAAAAAAAAAUUAAUGUUGUAAACAUAACAAGACAAAAUGAAAUUAUAAGUGAAUAAGGAUAUGAUUAAGCAAUGGGGAAAGCUAAAAAUUCACAUCGAAGACAAAAGUCUUCCAGGAUAUGAUCAAUAGCUAUGACUAAAUACUAGUUUUCAACUUUUGUACAUUAAAAAAGCUAUAUUUAAAAAUGAUGGAUCAAGUGACUAGUAGGAAAAUAUUUGAAACAUACAUUACAAAAGAUUACAGUCUUUAUUAUUUAAAAAGGUUUUCUAGCUCUUUUGAAAUGUCACCCAAAACUGAAAGGAGAACGAAAAACAGAAACAUAAACACCACCCUCGAUAAAACCAAAAGACCUCAGUAACCCCAGACCGCAGAAGAUGAAGCUGGCAUGUGACUGUGCUGAGAGGAGGGAGGUCGGAUCAAGUGCCUGAAGAGGAACAGGUUUGCAUCUCACAGACCAAAACAGCGGGAAUAGUGAAGUCUCAAGGAAGCAGGAAGGAAAUGGCAGGUGGGGCUGGUAGCAGGGAGUUGGUUUAAGAAGUUCAACCUCCUGUCCACCCCCCACCUCUAGCAGUCCAACAAUUCCACUCCCACGCUCUUUGGAGAAGACGGAUUAUUCUUUGGAGAAGGCAGCAGAAAAGGUUCUAGAUAGACUCAGGGACACCAAGAAUGGAGGAAGACACCUGUGACAUCAUACUGAAAAGGGGUUAGGUAAAGAUUCGCAUCCACGCUCACACACCCAGUCCAGGAUACAACACAGCUGCCUUAUUAUCCCCAUGCAAGAAACUGAAGAUCCUUAUCUGUAGAAACUGAACAACCUAAGGAAAAAAAUCCAAUCAACACAAACUUCUGGGAAUCCUCCCCUACAAAAAAACUGGCAAGCUACCCGACAGCCCUGCUAAAAUCCCCCAGUUCUCUAGCCUCUCGCCCUAGUCCCUGUGCACCAAGCAUCAAACUCCAUCUUAAACAUGAUUCCACAGCCAAGGAUCAAAUAAUCAAAAAGGUAUUUGAAGAAACUUACUGUAAUGGGUUGAAUGGUGACCCCGCAAAAGAUACGUCCAUGUCAUAAUCCUGAGACUCUGUGAACAUUAGCUUCGAUGGCAAAAGAGUAGGUAUUACUUGCGCAAGAUGUGAUUAAGGUAAGAAGUUUGAGAGGAGGAGCUGACCCAGGAUGAUCUGGAUGGGCCCUGCAUGUAAUCACACAUGCCUUUAUAAAAAUCACACAGAGGAGAACACCUACAGACGAGGAGGCAGUGUGGCUACGAAUGCGGGAAUCCGAGUGGUGCAGCCGCAAGCAAAGGAAUGCGAGCAGCCACCAGAAACAGGAAGAGGCAAAGGAAAGCUUCUUCCCCAGAGCCUCUAGCAGGAGUGCAGGCCUGAUGAUGCCUUGAUUGUGAGCGUCUGGUCUCAAGAACUCUGAAUGAAUAAGCCUGUGUUGUUUGAAGCCACCCACUUUGUGCUGAUUUGCUACAGCAGCCCCAGGAAACCGAUCCAUGCUCUGAGUUGGAAGUUGGCGACCUAAGCACACAGAGUAAAGAAAUGCAAAAGGAAGAGUGAGAGCAGACAGAAACUUCAAAUAUAAUGAUUAGGAGUCUAAUAAAAUAACAGACUCUUAGAAGCUAAGGCUAUGGUGGCAGAAAUGAACAAUUUGCAGAAAAGUUUAAAGGCAAAGUUGAGGAAAUCACCUAGAAAAUAAAACAGAAAAGCUAGAGAGGUCAGUAGGAGACAGAAGAUACAAAAAAAUAAAAAUAAGUCCAGGAGGUUCACCGCCUAACCAACGAUAGCUCCGGAAGGGAUAAUAAAGAGAAAAAUGAAGGAAUCAGAGAUCAUACAAGAAAAUUUCCCAGAACUGAAAGACACGAGUCUCCAAAUUGCAAUAACCUAUUGUGUCGAACACGUGAAUGGGGAAAAGAUCACAACUAUUGUAAGCGCCAUUGCGGAAAUGCAUCAAUGGACAUUUUAAAAGAUUAUAAUACAGUACAGGUGGAAAUAAACAGGUUAAAAACCAAGUAUCCAAUAGGAACCCGUUCUUCUAAGAUACGCAACAGGUAAUAUGAAGCAAUGCCUUCAAAAUGCCCAAAGAAAAAUAUUUUCAACCUUACAUUUUAUUUAUUUAUUUAUAUGAGACAGAGUUUUGCUCUUGUUGCCCAGCAUGGACUGCAAUGGCAUGAUCUCAGCUCGAUACAAACUCUGCCUCCAGGGUUCAAGUGAUUCUCCUGUCUCAGCCUCCUGAAUAGCUGGGAUUACAGGCACCUGCCACCACGUCUGGCUACAUUUUGUAUUUUUAGCAGAGACAGGGUUUCGCCAUGUUGGCCAGGCUGAUCAAACUUCUGAACUCAGAUGAUCUGCCCACCUUAGCCUCCCAAAGUGCUGGGAUUACAGGCGUGAGCCACCAUGCCCGGCCUCAACCUUAAAUUUUAUACUCAAACUAUCAAUCAAGUAUAAAGGUAGAAAAAAGACAUUUUUAGACAUAAAAGUCUCCAAAAAUUCAUCUCCCACAUACUCUUUUAUGGUAAGCUGUUAAAGGUUGUGAUUCACUAAAAUGAAGGAAUGUACAAGAAAGAAGACGUGGUGACUUAGUUUAGGCUGCUAUGACAGAUGACCAUUGACUAACAGGGUAAUACAUGAUGGAAAUCUAUUUCUCACAGUUCUGGAAGCUGGAGGUCCAGGGUGCCACAAUGGUCAGGUUCUGGUGAGGGGCAUCUUCCAGGUUGCAGGUGGUCAACUUUUCGCUGUAUUCUCAUAUGGCAGAAGAAGGCUACAGAGAUCACCUGGGCCUCUUUUAUAGGGGCAAUAAUCCUAGUAACAAAGGCUCCAUGCUCUUGACCUAAUUACCUCCCAAAGGCCUCGUCUCCUAGUACCAUCACAUUCAGAGUUAGGAUUCUAGUGUGAAUUUUAGGGGAACACAAAUAUACAGUCCAUUGCAGAUGGGAUCCAAGAACAGAAAAUUUACAUGCAAAAUAGGUAAAAGGAACUGCCAGGAUAACAGCAAAGGAAAGAGCCAGGGUGACAGCUGGGCAAAGGACCUGGAGGGCAGCCAGUUCAGAGAGAGGAGGACAAAGGGGAAUCAGUUAUCUAAAAUCGUGGCAUCAGGAGACAGCAGUGUACACAAGUCAUUCAGAACUACAGAAGUCAAUAAAAGAAAUAUCGAACACAAGUGAAAUUAAUUGCCCCAGAAGAGUGAACUGGAAGAGGACAUGGGAACAACGACUGUUGACUUUUUAAGCUUCUAUGAGUCUCCUAGGACUGUCAUUAACAUAUUAACAUAAGCUUGGCAACUAUGGCCUUCUUUCUGUGUCUCUGUGUCAAAUCUCCCCUCCUUUCUUUUAUAAGGACGCCACUCACUGGACUCAGGACUCACCCUAAAUCCAAUAGGCACUCAUCUCGAGGUCCUUAACUCAGUUACAUCUGCAAAGCCCCUAUUUCCAGAUAAGGUCACACUCACUGCAAUCAGGGUUGGGGCGUGGAUGUGCCUUUCUAGAGGACACAAUCCAACCCACUACAAAACUAUAUAUAUGAACUACUUUGCAUAUUUGUACUUAUUUAUUUAGCAUAUACAUUUUAAAAGUUUUUAGCAUCUAUUUCCAAGGCGACUUCCAGAAAGAGAUUUCCAUGUAUACUUCUACCAGCAAUGAAUGGAAGUCUCUGUUUUCCUUCACCUUUGCAAACACUGCACAUCAUAUUGUACACACUCUUGGCCAAAAUAAUACACAAAUGUUAUUUUAUUGUUGACUCAAUGUGCCUUUUGGAUUACUAAUGAUGUUUGGCACUUAAAAAUAUAUUCAUGUACUAUUUGGUCUUCCUCUUUGGUAAAUUACCUGUUCAUGUCCUUAGUUCAUUUUAUUUCUAUUAGGACAUUUAUCUCAUCCAUAUAAAAUAAAAGUAAAAAGACGUUAUGAAAACAUUGUUUUAAAUAGUCAAGUACAUGAAAACAGCCUAAACUUUUAGCCACAGAAAUUGAUUCACUAAAUUAUUAUAUUAUUGGAUUCCAUUAAGCUAUUAUGUCAUUACAGAAACCUGUCAUUACAGAAAUGCAUCUAGCAUGAGAAAUGAUUACAAUGUAAGUAAAAUAAAUAGAUUUAAAACAGUGUAUCCAGGCUGGGUGGGUGACUCACUCCUGUAAUCCCAGCACUAUGGGAGGUGGAGGCAGAUGGAUCACCUGAGGUCAGGAGUUCGAGACCAGCUUUGCCAACAUCGUGAAACCCCAUCUCUACUAAAAAUACAAAAAUUAGUCGAGCAUGGUGGCACACACCUGGAAUCCCAGCUACUCAGGAGGCUGAGCCAGGAGAAUGGCUUGAACCCAGAAGGCGGAGGUUGCAGUGAGCUGAGGUUGUGCCAUUGCACUCCAGGCUGGGUGACAAGAGAGAAACUUUGUCUCAAAAUGAAACAAAAAAACAGUGUAUCUAAUGGGACACUAUUUUCCUAAAGGAUAUGUAAUAGGCAAUGUUAUAAACAUUUAUAUAGCAUUUAUCAUGCACCAAGCAUUGUUUAAACAUUCCAUAAGUAGUACAACAAUUCUGUGUCAUGGGCUCUAUUUUAAUCCUUGUUUACCAAAAAGGAAACCGGAGCACAAAGAAAUUAGGAAACUUUUGCAAAGUUCACCGUGAGUGGUGGAGCUGGGAUUUAAAUCUAGGCAGGCUGAGCCCAAAGCUGUGUCAUUAACCACCCUCCCAGCUGCCUCUGUCUGUGUCAGUGCACAGGAGAGGACCCGUGAGUGUAUACACCAAAGAAGCUGCUGUAUUGUCUGUGGAAAGGAAGGAACUGUAGUAAUUUUUAUGUCUUUUUACUUGUAUGGGUUUCUGACUUUUCUAUAGUAAGUUUGUAAUGCUAUUCCAAUUAAAAACACUAAAAACUGGAUUUUGAAAACCAAAGCACUUCUCCUUAGCUUAUUGUGUAAGACUUGCUUUCAGCUAGUGGGAAAAUCAAGAGACUUGGCUACUAGUCCCAGCUCUGUUACUCAAGGCAUGUGGAUAAGCGCUGAAUAAAAUUUGUAUUCACUGAGCAUCUA
Molecule: non-coding RNA, 38217 nt
Organism: Callithrix jacchus (white-tufted-ear marmoset)
Lineage: Eukaryota; Metazoa; Chordata; Mammalia; Primates; Cebidae
Source: RefSeq, a predicted model, not a curated record